RNAcentral lists this ribosomal RNA (634 nucleotides) under uncultured bacterium. Its description in RNAcentral is "bacterial SSU rRNA". The stretch from base 1 to 543 matches the Rfam family "Bacterial small subunit ribosomal RNA", at positions 338 to 873 of the family's 1533-position model. The record is from RNAcentral.
CCUACGGGAGGCAGCAGUGGGGAAUUUUGGACAAUGGGCGCAAGCCUGAUCCAGCAAUGCCGCGUGAGUGAAGAAGGCCUUCGGGUUGUAAAGCUCUUUUGUCAGGGAAGAAACGGAUUUUUCUAAUACAGAGAUCUAAUGACGGUACCUGAAGAAUAAGCACCGGCUAACUACGUGCCAGCAGCCGCGGUAAUACGUAGGGUGCAAGCGUUAAUCGGAAUUACUGGGCGUAAAGCGUGCGCAGGCGGUUUUGUAAGUUUGUCGUGAAAUCCCCGGGCUCAACCUGGGAAUGGCGAUGAAGACUGCAAGGCUAGAGUUUGGCAGAGGGGGGUAGAAGUUCCACGUGUAGCAGUGAAAUGCGUAGAUAUGUGGAGGAACACCGAUGGCGAAGGCAGCCCCCUGGGUCAAAACUGACGCUCAUGCACGAAAGCGUGGGGAGCAAACAGGAUUAGAUACCCUGGUAGUCCACGCCCUAAACGAUGUCUACUAGUUGUCGGGUCUUAAUUGACUUGGUAACGCAGCUAACGCGUGAAGUAGACCGCCUGGGGGAGGUACGGUCGUCGAGAGUUAAACGUUAACGUAAAGAAGUUAGUACGGCGUUGAGACGNGCGACGGACGACGACGAGGGAGGAGG